This 221-nucleotide long non-coding RNA is filed under the name Elaeis guineensis (African oil palm). Its description in RNAcentral is "long non-coding RNA (EGUI_LNC080952)". Lineage: Eukaryota; Viridiplantae; Streptophyta; Magnoliopsida; Arecales; Arecaceae. The record is from RNAcentral.
GGCCAGGGUAAUCUAUCAGAUGGAUUUGAUAUUUUGAAAUACAAUAUGGAUAUUUUGAUCAGAGUUGACAGUUGAACUCUGAGGUGUCCUAUGACCAUUUUGGUCAAGGGGAUGAAUUAUAUGAAAAUUAUAUCCGCAUGGGUUCUAAGGAUGUUGUUUUACACAUUCGACCUAUCCGAUCGUCGGAUACCAUUGCUAGAUGGUCGGUUCGAUUGGUAUAG